GGAUAAAUAGUUUAAAUUUAAAACAUAACACUGAAAAUGUUAAACUGUGCUCUGCCCUUUCUCCA
RNAcentral lists this transfer RNA (65 nucleotides) under Chamberlainia hainesiana. RNAcentral's name for it is "tRNA-Phe". It matches the Rfam family "tRNA". From Rfam's summary of the family: Transfer RNA (tRNA) molecules are approximately 80 nucleotides in length. Their secondary structure includes four short double-helical elements and three loops (D, anti-codon, and T loops). Lineage: Eukaryota; Metazoa; Mollusca; Bivalvia; Unionida; Unionidae. The record is from RNAcentral.